RNAcentral lists this long non-coding RNA (249 nucleotides) under Bos taurus (domestic cattle). RNAcentral describes it as "long non-coding RNA NONBTAT000148". The record is from RNAcentral. Lineage: Eukaryota; Metazoa; Chordata; Mammalia; Artiodactyla; Bovidae.
UCUAAUCUGUAAUUGCCUUUGUGGUGGGUCAUUGUAUCACUUUCUAAUGAAUGACUGAGAUUUUAUGAACUCUAUUUAAACUUUAUAUGUCAUCUGCUAUGAAAGAAAAGAAUUUAUUUCCAGUUUCUAAAGCACCAAUGAAUGAUAAAGCAGAUUCGUGUGUUUUUUAUGUGUUGUCUUUAAUCUCUAGAUUAUCACCAAUAUUUUUGGUAUUUUGACAGAAAAUAAUGAGACUUGCUGGUUACUGAC